GAUUGAACGCUGGCGGCAGGCUUAACACAUGCAAGUCGAACGGUAGCAGGAAGGAAGCUUGCUUUCUUUGCUGACGAGUGGCGGACGGGUGAGUAAUGCUUGGGAAUCUGGCUUAUGGAGGGGGAUAACUACGGGAAACUGUAGCUAAUACCGCRUAAUGUCUAAGGACUAAAGGGUGGGACUUUCGGGCCACCUGCCAUAAGAUGAGCCCAAGUGGGAUUAGGUAGUUGGUUAGGUAAAGGCUGACCAAGCCGACGAUCUCUAGCUGGUCUGAGAGGAUGACCAGCCACACUGGAACUGAGACACGGUCCAGACUCCUACGGGAGGCAGCAGUGGGGAAUAUUGCACAAUGGGGGGAACCCUGAUGCAGCCAUGCCGCGUGAAUGAAGAAGGCCUUCGGGUUGUAAAGUUCUUUCGGUAGCGAGGAAGGUGUUUGUUUUAAUAGAACAGGCAAUUGACGUUAACUACAGAAGAAGCACCGGCUAACUCCGU
RNAcentral lists this ribosomal RNA (492 nucleotides) under Mannheimia sp. 'ARUP UnID 394'. RNAcentral describes it as "bacterial SSU rRNA". It matches the Rfam family "Bacterial small subunit ribosomal RNA", at positions 27 to 506 of the family's 1533-position model. The record is from RNAcentral. Lineage: Bacteria; Pseudomonadati; Pseudomonadota; Gammaproteobacteria; Pasteurellales; Pasteurellaceae.